CACGCCGUAAACUAAUGCGCGUUAGGUGUAUCGGUGACCACGAGUCACCGAGGUGCCGAAGGGAAACCGUGAAACGUGCCGCCUGGGAAGUACGGUCGCAAGGCUGAGACUUAAAGGAAUUGGCGGGGGAGCACCACAACGGGUGGAGCCUGCGGUUUAAUUGGACUCAACGCCGGGAAGCUCACCGGAUAAGACAGCGGAAUGAUUGCCGGGCUGAAGACUCUGCAUGACUAGCUGAGAGGUGGUGCAUGGCGUGUGACUGU
This 263-nucleotide ribosomal RNA is filed under the name uncultured archaeon. RNAcentral describes it as "partial 16S ribosomal RNA". It matches the Rfam family "Archaeal small subunit ribosomal RNA", at positions 747 to 1008 of the family's 1478-position model. The record is from RNAcentral.